This 497-nucleotide ribosomal RNA is filed under the name uncultured bacterium. RNAcentral's name for it is "partial 16S ribosomal RNA". It matches the Rfam family "Bacterial small subunit ribosomal RNA", at positions 28 to 507 of the family's 1533-position model. The record is from RNAcentral.
GAUGAACGCUGGCGGCGUGCCUAAUACAUGCAAGUCGAGCGAACAGACGAGGAGCUUGCUCCUCUGACGUUAGCGGCGGACGGGUGAGUAACACGUGGAUAACCUACCUAUAAGACUGGGAUAACUUCGGGAAACCGGAGCUAAUACCGGAUAAUAUAUUGAACCGCAUGGUUCAAUAGUGAAAGACGGUUUUGCUGUCACUUAUAGAUGGAUCCGCGCCGCAUUAGCUAGUUGGUAAGGUAACGGCUUACCAAGGCAACGAUGCGUAGCCGACCUGAGAGGGGGAUCGGCCACACUGGAACUGAGACACGGUCCAGACUCCUACGGGAGGCAGCAGUAGGGAAUCUUCCGCAAUGGGCGAAAGCCUGACGGAGCAGCGCCGCGUGAGUGAUGAAGGUCUUCGGAUCGUAAAACUCUGUUAUUAGGGAAGAACAAAUGUGUAAGUAACUAUGCACGUCUUGACGGUACCUAAUCAGAAAGCCACGGCUAACUACGUG